This 569-nucleotide ribosomal RNA is filed under the name uncultured bacterium. RNAcentral describes it as "bacterial SSU rRNA". It matches the Rfam family "Bacterial small subunit ribosomal RNA", at positions 8 to 572 of the family's 1533-position model. The record is from RNAcentral.
AGAGUUUGAUUCUGGCUCAGGAUGAACGCUGGCGGCGUGCUUAACACAUGCAAGUCGAACGGAGAUUAUACGCAGAGGCGAUUUCGGUCAAAUCAUGUAAAAUCUUAGUGGCGGACGGGUGAGUAACGCGUGGGUAACCUGCCUUACACUGGGGGAUAACACUUAGAAAUAGGUGCUAAUACCGCAUAAGCGCACGAAGCCGCAUGGAUUUGUGUGAAAAACUCCGGUGGUGUAAGAUGGACCCGCGUCUGAUUAGCUUGUUGGCGGGGUAACGGCCCACCAAGGCGACGAUCAGUAGCCGGCCUGAGAGGGUGGACGGCCACAUUGGGACUGAGACACGGCCCAAACUCCUACGGGAGGCAGCAGUGGGGGAUAUUGGACAAUGGGGGGAACCCUGAUCCAGCGACGCCGCGUGAGUGAAGAAGUAUUUCGGUAUGUAAAGCUCUGUCAGCAGGGAAGAAAGAAAUGACGGUACCUGACCAAGAAGCCCCGGCUAACUACGUGCCAGCAGCCGCGGUAAUACGUAGGGGGCAAGCGUUAUCCGGAAUUACUGGGUGUAAAGGGAGCGU